CAUGUGUAGCGGUGAAAUGCGUAGAUAUAUGGAGGANCACCAGUGGCGAAAGCGGCUCUNUGGUCUGUCACUGACGCUGAGGCUCGAAAGCGUGGGUAGCGAACAGGAUUAGAUACCCUGGUAGUNCACGCCGUAAACGAUGAGUGCUAGGUGUUAGGCCCUUUCCGGGGCUUAGUGCCGGAGCUAACGCAAUAAGCACUCCGCCUGGGGAGUACGACCGCAAGGUUGAAACUCAAAGGAAUUGACGGGGGCCCGCACAAGCGGUGGAGCAUGUGGUUUAAUUCGAAGCAACGCGAAGAACCUUACCAGGUCUUGACAUCCCGAUGCUAUUCUUAGAGAUAGGAAGUUACUUCGGUACAUCGGAGACAGGUGGUGCAUGGUUGUCGUCAGCUCGUGUCGUGAGAUGUUGGGUUAAGUCCCGCAACGAGCGCAACCCUUAUUGUUAGUUGCCAUCAUUAAGUUGGGCACUCUAGCGAGACUGCCGGUAAUAAACCGGAGGAAGGUGGGGAUGACGUCAAAUCAUCAUGCCCCUUAUGACCUGGGCUACACACGUGCUACAAUGGUCGGUACAACGAGUUGCGAGCCGGUGACGGCAAGCUAAUCUCUGAAAGCCGAUCUCAGUUCGGAUUGGAGGCUGCAACUCGCCUCCAUGAAGUCGGAAUCGCUAGUAAUCGCGGAUCAGCACGCCGCGGUGAAUACGUUCUCGGGCCUUGUACACACCGCCCGUCACACCACGAGAGUUUGUAACACCCGAAGUCGGUGAGGUANCCUUUUAGGG
RNAcentral lists this ribosomal RNA (778 nucleotides) under uncultured bacterium. Its description in RNAcentral is "bacterial SSU rRNA". It matches the Rfam family "Bacterial small subunit ribosomal RNA", at positions 670 to 1447 of the family's 1533-position model. The record is from RNAcentral.